This 253-nucleotide ribosomal RNA is filed under the name uncultured bacterium. RNAcentral describes it as "partial 16S ribosomal RNA". It matches the Rfam family "Bacterial small subunit ribosomal RNA", at positions 524 to 776 of the family's 1533-position model. The record is from RNAcentral.
UACGUAGGUGACCAGCGUUGUCCGGAUUUACUGGGCGUAAAGGGUGCGUAGGCGGCGGGGCAAGUCUGAUGUGAAAUCCCGGGGCUCAACUCCGGAACUGCAUUCGAUACUGCCGUGCUUGAGGACUGGAGAGGAGACUGGAAUUUACGGUGUAGCGGUGAAAUGCGUAGAUAUCGUAAGGAAGACCAGUGGCGAAGGCGGGUCUCUGGACAGUUCCUGACGCUGAGGCACGAAGGCCAGGGGAGCAAACGGG